CAUCAGGUAUAUCAGCUUAUUCAACAAUUAAUUAAGGUUAACAUUUAUAAAUCUUGUCAACUGGCAACGUGUUUCAGGUUUUUUGGAAAUGAACACGGUUCAAGAAUAAGUUUUUGUGCUUUGACAACUUUGUCAUGAUUUAGAUUGUUGUUAUGAAUAGGAACUAAUCUAAUAGGAAGACGAUUCGACUUCGAUUUAUCUAAGUUGCUACCGAGGUAUUUAGUUGAGGCAGUGGUGCAAGUAAUCAGCUUAGAACUGGAAAUGUGCAUAUUCAGAAGCUAUCAUGUAAAGUUGAUUCACUUAAUGGUUUGAUCAUUAAGCUUCUUUAUGCAGAAAAGCUCCAUAGUAUGACACUUACUGAUUGUAGAGAUGUGUAUACUUGGGGAUUUGGAAGAAGGAGGCGUAUGGCCAUCCUGAUUUUGACGUACACAGCAGGUGUGAAAUUGUUCUUCAUCUCGACUUUAAUUCAGCUGUACGAAUUAACUGUGCAACAACUGCUCUUUGUAUCUUCAUAAACUGCACAUCCAAUACUGACCCCUUGGAUUUCAAAUAUUUAGACUCCAUUUGACGAGAACAUCACAGGCUGAUUUGAAAGAUUGUUUUUUUGGUAGAGUUCAUUGACAUCGAUUGAUCCAUUGAAUUGGCCCUACCAAGUGAAAUAAAUAAUUUCUACUAUUAUUGUAGGGCUAUAUAAGUUUUUGGCACCUUUUUUUGUAUUGUGAUUUGCCAUUGUCUUGUUAUAUAUGUCUUAAGUAGUCGUUGAUGAAUGAGCUUGAUGAGAUGGAAAAGAUUAACGCAAAUCUCUCUGUUGCCGUGGAAGAGGUGACUCUAGAGCAUGUCAAUAAAAAUGAGAAAGGUAUCAACGAAGAUGAUGAUGAGGACGACGACGUAAGUGACGAAUUUCAAGAGGACGGUUUACGUGAUGAGUACGACAUAUGUGACAAAUUUCAAGAGGACGAUUUACGUGAUAUGGACAACAUAGGUGACGAAUUUUAAGAGGACGACAUAGAUGAUGACCUUCAAAAGGACAUCAUAUGUGAUGAAGAGGAUGAUGGAGAUGACGAUGUGUUCGGAAAAUUUAAAUGAGUUGGAUGUUAU
Molecule: long non-coding RNA, 1098 nt
Organism: Vicia villosa (hairy vetch)
Lineage: Eukaryota; Viridiplantae; Streptophyta; Magnoliopsida; Fabales; Fabaceae
Exons: 4
Source: RefSeq, a predicted model, not a curated record